GACGAACGCUGGCGGCGUGCUUAACACAUGCAAGUCGAACGGAAAGGCCCUGCUUUUGUGGGGUGCUCGAGUGGCGAACGGGUGAGUAACACGUGAGUAACCUGCCCUUGACUUUGGGAUAACUUCAGGAAACUGGGGCUAAUACCGGAUAGGAGCUCCUGCUGCAUGGUGGGGGUUGGAAAGUUUCGGCGGUUGGGGAUGGACUCGCGGCUUAUCAGCUUGUUGGUGGGGUAGUGGCUUACCAAGGCUUUGACGGGUGGCCGGCCUGAGAGGGUGACCGGCCACAUUGGGACUGAGAUACGGCCCAGACUCCUACGGGGGGCAGCAGUGGGGAAUAUUGCACAAUGGGCGGAAGCCUGAUGCAGCAACGCCGCGUGCGGGAUGACGGCCUUCGGGUUGUAAACCGCUUUCGCCUGUGACGAAGCGUGAGUGACGGUAAUGGGUAAAGAAGCACCGGCUAACUACGUG
Molecule: ribosomal RNA, 468 nt
Filed under: uncultured bacterium
Lineage: Bacteria
Description: partial 16S ribosomal RNA
Rfam family: Bacterial small subunit ribosomal RNA
Source: RNAcentral